CAAAAUUGCAUACAGACAUAUAUGCAGACGUGCGUGCAUGCACACAGACACGUAUAUAUGUGUGUGCUUUUAUAUGUAGACUUCAAUGGCAGACCCUCCCAUUCAGGAAAUGGCUCAAUUUGUGGGGUCGAGACGAAGGAGGGCGCGCGGACGAGGAGGGGCGCGUGGGCACUGCCCUUCGAUACGCAUGCGCAGGGGCUGCGCGAGUAGAGUCGCAUGCGCGGUGCCGGUCCAACGGUCGACGCUGAGCUGCCGCCAUCGGGACGGAAGGUCGGGAGAGAGAAGGGACACACGUACUCAGACCCAGAGACGGAGCAAACCAAAACCUCCCCAUCCAACCGCCUUGACUCUCUGUGCCUCUCAGAAUGUCAGGUGUACCGAGCAGCACUCCCAGGCUGAAGCAGUGGAUGAUCGAGCAAGUGGACAGUGAGAGGUACCCGGGGCUGGUCUGGGAGGACCGCAAUCUCGGAAUGUUCCGGAUCCCCUGGAAGCACGCCAAUCAUCAGGACUACAGGCACGACAAGGAUGCCGCCAUUUUUGAGGUGAGACCCACGCCGCCCCCUUCUCCAACCCAACAGCAAUGAGAGGCUGGGGGUCAGGGGUCACGACUGGAGUAAACGGGAUCGUUCCCAUCGAGGGGAAUUCCUCCUGUAGUUUGGUUCCAGUGGACAGCAAUAACCCUUCAGAGAUUUUCAACAUGCCCUUGCCGCUUUAUGGGCGCCUAGGUCAGACAACACGUGAUCCUGACUCAGACGCUGCACUUGGCUCCUGGGACAGUGACCGAGAGCUUGGCCCAUCAGCCGGAUUGUAAAUGGGGGAGAGAGAGAGAUUGGAACGUUCAGGGAGAGAUGUCAACCCAGCCAGUCCUAAUCCC
This is a non-coding RNA of Chiloscyllium plagiosum (whitespotted bambooshark), 874 nucleotides long. NCBI's taxonomy places the organism in Eukaryota, Metazoa, Chordata, Chondrichthyes, Orectolobiformes, Hemiscylliidae. The record is from RefSeq and is a predicted model, not a curated record.